This 9846-nucleotide long non-coding RNA is filed under the name Nicotiana benthamiana. RNAcentral's name for it is "long non-coding RNA (NBEN_LNC031158)". Lineage: Eukaryota; Viridiplantae; Streptophyta; Magnoliopsida; Solanales; Solanaceae. The record is from RNAcentral.
GCAAACUAAUGAGAAAAGCAAUAUAAUUAACUAAAACAACAAAAUUGAAAUGACUUAACUUGUUUAGUAGUUAACUGCCUAAGCCGUGGCAUGCUUUUGAAACUCACUAUUUUAAUCAAACAAAGUGAACUGGCAGAAUGUUACUAUUACCAUAUGUGUUCUUUGACUAUCAUACAUAAGGAAUUUAUUAACUAAGCUACAACAAGAUGUUCAGUUCUACAUAAUCAAACGCCUACAUGAUACUAAUAGAUGAAGCUAACUAAUGUACAUACACAACAAAAUUCAAAAUAUAACUAAGAUAAAUUCAAAACUCCAACUUUUCGUUUCAUAUUCAUGCUUCAGUUUUUAUUCUACAGGAACCAAUGUAUCAAUUUGUGUACCUGGUAUUUGGAAGGCAAGGAAAAAGAGGAGAUCAGUGAUAGCAGCAGUAUGCACACACAGCAACAACAGUUCCAGCAACAACUGCAAUAAACAAAUAUCAAACAAUAGCAAGAAUCCCAGGAAAGUUUUGAAAACAAGCAGGAACAACCCAGGAACUUUCAAACCCAACAGAAAAUGCAAGAAAUACCACACUAAAAGACCCAGUAAUACCCGAAAUGCCUUCACAGUCGAAGUAAAAAAUGAGGCAGAAACAAGAAAGCAGUAUUUCUAAUUGUGAGCACUUAAAGAAACAAACUGAAACUCUUGAAGUAAAGCUCAGCCAAACACUCACUUAAGUUUUGGAAUCCUAAUGCGCAAAUUUCAGUCUUAAGAUAUUAAGUUCUGAUAUUAUGCCUUCAAAAAUCUGUUAUAACUCACUCCUCAAAUCUGAAAUUCUCAAAGUCUCCUCCUUUCUUAAACUUAUUUCUCUCUAUUUAUAGGCCAACAUUUUCUAUUCAAAACUUUUCUUUUCAGCGUGUAUAUUCCCUCCCCAUGUGCAUUUAUACCCCUUUAUCAUUCAACCCUUAAUGUUUCUGAUUUCCAAUUAGGAAAGGUAUUUAAAAGAAAUGUCAGCUUUUAAUUCUUUAUUAAGACCCCAUGUUAUUUGUGAUUUCCAACUAGUAAACCACUUAUUUUGUUUUUUAAUCCCAAAAGUAUAUGGCCAGCUUGAAUAUUAAAUUCAGGCGUGCCUGGCAAUACAUGGUCUUCACUCAACCCCCUAACCCUAUGUUUACUAGUCUAAAACUACCUCUAUAUAAGCUUAGAUUUAAAACUGAUUUUAGGUUAAGCUUACAGAUUACUUACAACUAUAUCCAAUUCAUACUAAGAGCAAUCACUUAUUCAACUCAAUCAAAUCACAGAAGUGGUGUUGAUCAGAUGGCCUGAGUUGAUCAUAUUGGGAGCCAAUCCUUACCAACUCAAAGCCAAAUGAGCAAAAAAGGCAACAACUAUUAAAGGCUCAGAUCAAAGCAGAAAUGAACAUGCUUGUUGAUACAAGUCUCAACACAUGACAAGAGAAGCAUGCUAGAAAUUAACUGGAAUGAACAAUUCAUGAUUCUCUAGUUUUUUCAGUGCAUUCAGUUGACAACAUUCAAUUAAUUGACUAUAUGAACUGCAACAGAUAGCUAACAAUCGAUAAUCAAAAUACAUCAAGCAUGUUAGAGGAUUUCAGUGACUUCAGCAAAUAACCUAAUGUGAACUAACUAUUUUGACGAUUUAAUCAAGCUAAACACCUUCUUAAUCACAACAGGUACGACUAAUAAAGAAAUAGAAGAAAUGACAAAAUAAAAGGUAUUAUGGAGAUGGACAGAAUUGAAAGAAAAAUAACUUAAAAAUCAAACAAAAUAACUAAAAAUGCAAACAAACACAAAUAGAACACAAACAAGAGCAGAAGGAGAAGAAUAAAAUACCUUAGAAGCUUAGAAAAGAGACGACCCCUGUUCAAAUUGGACCUGAUCUCUUUGAGUUCGAACGAACUUUAAUCGAACCUUUCUCACCCGAGAACACCUCGAUUAAGGUCUAUUAGACCCCAACAAUUUGAUAAUUAGGAUAGACUCUCAUGGAUUUGUGUUCUAGGGUUCAAACAUUCGAUUUAGGGCUUGAAGGUUUCUGGUUUGAUUCGGACCAAACCAUCGUUUGUAAAGAUAUGAGGGAGGUCAAGGGAUAGGUUAGGGUUUUGCUCGAAUCUUUAAAUGAAGAUUCCAGACGAUGGGCAUUGAUUCAAGGUAAAAGGCUUGUGGAUACGUAAUCAGAGUGUGAAGGUGGUUCUAUGGUGUUAAGAUGGUGGUCGGCGGCGUAGUUGCCGCCGGGUUUCAGGCGAAUGGGAGCUAUGGCGGCUAGGGUUUACAGGUCUCGUCUCUGAGUUGAGAGAGACGAAGUGGGAGGGGUGUGCUUGGUUAUGGGGGACGAGGGGUGAGAGACAGAGGCUUAUAUAGGGGGUAGGGGGAUUUGAUCCUGGUCGUUGGAUCAAGAAUGAUCGACGGCCAAGUUCUUUCACUUGGGUGAAACGAUGUUGUAUAAUUCCAGUGAGACUGGGUUGGUUUCUAGGGUUAAGUGGGUCGGGUAUCUGGGAAAGCCUCAAGUCGUUGGGUUAGAUGGGAUGAACAACUUAGAUCAAUUGUAAUCAUGCGGUAUCGUUUGGAUUAAUGAAAGAACUAAACUGUACAGUUAGAUUUGACUGAUUAACGGUCCAUAUUAAAAGCAUCCAAACGACGUAGUUUGGGGGACGUUUGGGGGACGGUUUAGAGACCUGGUCCUAGACUAGGUUAUUGCACACAUUGAGCCUUAUCUUUUGGUUUAAUAAUGAAGACCAACUCCAACAUUUUCUUAAAUUUUUUGCACUCUUUUCCUUCUUUUAGUUAACCAAACUAACAAAAAUCCGAAUAAAAAUGUAAAAUAAAAAUAAAACUACAAAAUAUUAAUUAACACUUACAACAAGUAACACACACAUUAAAUCAUUCAAUUAAGAUAAAAUCACCUAGUGACAAAAAAAAUAGAAUAAAAAGGCAUAUUUUGUGAUUUUAUUUUUAACAACCAAAUUGUGGUUCAAUUAAAUCCUAAAUGCAUAAUUAAAUCCUAAAUAUGCAUGCAACAUGUAUUUUUUUUCUUUUUUGUAUUUUUUAAUUAACCACAACAAGGUAAACAUUUACGGACGAAACAAUUAAAAAAAUGUCACACAAAUUCUCAAAAAUUGUACCCGAAUGUAACUUGUUUUAUUUUUUGAUUUCUUUUUGAGUAAUAUCUGUGAAGCAAAAAUCACGUGCUCACAAGUUUCACCAAGACUUUCACUACUACAUUCGGCGGUGCAUCUACUAAGAGUUCCCAUGAUUAUCUAGACAAUUGUCAUGACGUUCUCAGGGACAUUGGGAUCGUGGAGACCAAUGAGGUAGAUUUUGCUACAUUUUGCUUGUCUGGAUCUGCCGAGACCUGUUGGAAAUAUUAUUGGUUGGCUAUACUUCUAGGUCAUCAACUUCGACUUUGGAGCAAUUAUCAGAGUUUUUUCUGGAGAAGUUUCUCCCCGUUACUCAAAGAGAAGCCUAUUGGAGGAAGUUCGAGCGUCUCCAGGUUCUAUGAAUGGUACUCAGUACGAAACCUGAUUCAUCGACUUGGAUCGUCAUGCUCAUACCAUGCUUCCCACUGUGAGAGAGAGUGAGGAGGUUCAUUGAAGGACUCGUCCAGCCCGCUCAGUUUGUUGGGGGUAGAGGUAGAUGUAUUAGAGGUGGAGGUAGAAAUGGUAGAGGUUGAGGGGAAGGCAUUAGAGGUGGAGGUGCAGGUACUAUUCUGGUUCGUAGCAGAGAAGCUUCGGUUUAUUGUUUUGCCGCAUCUGGUCAUGCAUAGUAGUUCUUUGAGUGCCCCUGUUAAUGUGUCUAUGCCGGUGGGUGAUUUUACUGUGGUGGAUCGUGUCUAUUGAUCAUGUAUAGUUGUGAUUGGAGGUCUUGAGACUCGUGUAUAUUUGUUUCUCUUGGACAUAGUCGACUUUGAUCUUAUAUUGGGGAUGGAUUGGUUAUCACCUUACCAUGCUAUCUUGGAUUGUCAUGCCAAGGCUGUGACCUUAGCUUUACCAAGUUUGCACCUUUAGAGUGGAGAGGGAUUCCAGGUCAUUCUACCCGCUAUGUUAUCACGUAUGUGAAGGCUCGACAUAUGGUCGAGAAGGGGUUUUUGGCUUAUUUAGAUUAUGUUCGUGAUUCCAGUGCUGAGGUUCCCUCUAUUGAUUCUGUGCCCAUGGUUCACGAGUUUCCUAAGGUUUUCCCUUCAGACCUGACGUGUACGCCACCUCACAGGGAUAUUUAUUUUUGCAUUGAUUUGUCUCCGGGCACAUAGCCCAUCUCUAUUCCUCCAUAUCGCAUGGACCCACAAGAGUUGAAAGAGUUGAAGGAGCAGUUGCAAGACUUGCUUUAGAAGUUUCAUUAAGCACAGUGUGUCACCAUGGGGUGCGCCGGUGUUGUUCAUAAAGAAGAAGGAUGGUUCGAUGAGAAUGUGCAUUGAUUACCGGCAAUUGAACAAGGUUACAAUCAAGAAUAAGUAUCCACUGUCGAGGAUUGAUGAUUUAUUUGAUAAAUUUUAAGGUGCCAAGGUAUUUUCAAAGAUAGACUUGAGAAUUGGCUGACAUCAAUUGAAGUUUAGGGCAUCCGAUGUCCCUAUGAUAGCUUUCCAAACUUGGUACGGACAUUAUAAAUUCUUGGUCAUGUCUUUUGGCUUAACAAAUGCCCCAACAGCUUUUAUGUAUCUGAUGAACCAUGUUUAGGGCUUAUUUAGACUUGUUCGUGAUAGUCUUCAUUGAUGACAUAUUGAAAUACUCCCUUAUCCAGGAGGAGCAUGAGCAGCAUCUCAGAGUGGCUCUUCAGACUCUGAAAGAUAGUCAGUUCUACGCAAAAUUUAAAAGUGUGAGUUUUGGUUGAGUUCAAAUACUUUCCUGGGUCAUUUUGUUAUGGCGGAGGGUAUUCAGGUUGAUCCAAAAAAGAAUGAGACAGUCAAGAACUGGCCUAGACCAACAUCAGCUACAGAGAUCCGGAGUUUCUUAGGAUUGGCAGGUUACUACGGUUUGUGGAGGGAUUUUCAUCUAUUACAACCUCGAUGACAAGAAUGACCCAGAAUGGUGCCCAUUUCAAAUGGCCGUACGAAUAUAAUGCGAGCUUUCAGAGGCUUAACACAUCUUUGAGUACGACACGGAUAUUAGUUUUGCCCGCAGGUUUAUGACCUUAUAUAGUCUAUUAUGAUGCUUCCCGUAUUGGAUUUGGCGCAAUGUUAAUGUAGGAUGUCAAGAUCAUUGCCUAUGCUUCGAGGCAGUUGAAGAUUCAUGGGAAAAACUAUCAUGUGCAUAAUUUGGAGGUAACAGCCAUUGUUCACGCAUUGAAAAUUUGGAGGCAUUAUUUGUAUGGCAUGGCAUGUGAAGUGUUCACUGAUGACAAGAGUCUUCAGUACUUGUUUAUGCAAAAGGAAUUGAAUUUGAAGCAGAGGAGUUGGUUGGAACUAUUGAAGGAUUAUGACAUCACUAUUUUAUAUCACCCAAGAAAAGCCAAUGUGGUGGCAGAUGCUUUGAGUAGGAAGUCAACCAGUAUGGGCAGUCUUGCUUAUAUUCCAGUCAGUCAGAGGCCACUUGUUUUGGAUGUUCAUGCUUUAGCCAACCGAUUUGUGAAGUUGGAUAUUUCUAAGCCUAGUUGGGUAUUAAUUUGCACUAUCUCUCGUUCUUCACUAUUGGAGUAUAUCCGUGAUCGGUAGUUUGUGUUUCCCGUUUAUGUGUCCUUAAAGACAUGGUGCAACGAGGACGUGCCAAACAGGUUAAAUUAGAUACUGAUGGAGUUUUAAGAUUUCGAGGGCGAGUUUGUGUGCCAAAUGUUGAUGGGCUUCGAGAAUUGAUUUUAGAGAAGGCCCACAGUUCCCCGGUAGUCUAUUCAUCCAGGCACCGCAAAGAUGUAUCAGGAUUUGCGGCAACAUUAUUGGUGAGCGUAGAAUUAAGAAGGAUAUUGUGGGAUAUGUGGCACGGUGUUUGAAUUUUAGUAGGUUAAGUAUGAGCAAAAGAGGCCUGGUGGAUUAUUUUAGGGGAUUGAGCUUCCCCAGUGGAAGUGGGAGUGUAUCACUUUACUGGACUCUCGUUGACUAGGAAGACGUUUGAUACGGUUUGGGUCAUUGUUGAUAGGUUGACCAAGUCGUCGUAUUUCAUUCCUGUGGCAUUCUCUUAUUCAUCCGAGAGGUUAGCUGAGAUUUAUAUCCAGGAGAUUGUUCGCCUUCAUGAGGUGCCGAUAUCUAUCAUCUCGGAUCAAAGUACGUAGUUUACCUCGCAUUUUUGGAAAGUAGUUCAGCGAGAGUUAGGCACCCAGGUGCAGUUGAGUACAACAUUUUAUCAUCAGACGGACGGGCAAUCCGAGCGGACCAUUCAGAUAUUGAAGGAUAUGCUCCAAGCUUGUGUUAUUGACUUUGGAGAUUCGUGGGAUCAAUUCUUGCCCUUAGCAAUGUUUGCCUACAACAACGGCUACCACAUAAGUACCAAGAUGGCUUCUUAUGAGGCUUUAUAUGGUAGGAGGUGUCGAUCUCCGGUUGGAUGGAUGGAGCCGGGAGAGACUCGGCUGUUGGGUAUAGAAUUGGUGCAGGAGGCCUUAGAAAAUGUUAGAAUCAUUCAGGAUAGGCUUCAUACAGCUCAGUCCAGGAAAAAGAGCUAUGUAGAUCGUAAGGUUCGAGAUGUAGAUUUCAUGGUUGGUGAGCGAGUAUUGCUCCGAGUGUCGCCUAUGAAGGGCAUGAUGAAGGGAAAUCUUAGCCCUAGGUUCAUUAAUCCGUAUAAGAUUCUUGAGUUAGUUGGAGAUGUGGCUUAUAGACUUGCAUUGCCUCAAAACUUAUCAGCAGUGCAUCCAGUUUCUUAUGUGUCCACGCUUCGAAAAUAUCACGGCGAUCCAGCCCACGUGCUAGACUUUCAACACUAUCCAGUUGGAUAAGGACUUGUCUUACGAGGAGGAGCCGUUGGCUAUUUUAGACCGGUAGGUUUGUCAAUUGAGAUCCAAUAGUUUUCCUUCUAUUCGUAGUCAGUAGAGAGAUCAGCCUCUUGAGGCUUCGACCUGGGAGCCUGAUUCCGAUAUGCGGAGCCGUUAUCCUCAUUUAUUCCGCGACUCACGUACUUCUUUCUUCUGUCCGUUCGGGGACAUACAGUUGUUUUAGAGGUGAAGAAUGUGACGACCCAAAGGGGUCAUCACUUAUUAUCUUAUCCAUUCCGAGCUUUCGAGGUCUUGAAAACCAUAUUUAUAGUCGCCUCGAUUUGCAUGCACAUUUGAGGCGCGUAGCCGGAAGCUCAAAUAUGAAAUUAUGUGAAAGUUUUGUAAUUUUUAAUAUUAAAAUGAAUAAAUUAGACUUCGGUCAACAUUUUAAGUAAACUGACCCGGACCUGUAAUUUGACAGACCUGGAAGGUCCGUGGAAAAAUAUGGGACUUGGGCGUAUGCCCGGAACCGAAUUUCGAGGUCCCAGGCUGGAGAAAUGAUUUUUUGAGUAAAAUUGUUUUCCAAAAAUAUUUAAGGAAAAUAAAAAUGAAAUUUGAUUAAAAGUGAUGGUAUCGGGCCUGUAUUAUUAUUUCCGCCGCCCGGUACAGGUCUUAUAUGUGGUUUAAGCGCUUUCAGUAAAAUAUGGUUGAAAAUAGACGUCAUUUGACGUGUUUCGGAUUUAAAGUCCUAAAAAAGUUUAUGAAAUUUGGAAGAAAUCAUGGAUUUUAAGACUUAAUUCAUUAUUUUUGAUGUUAUUUUUGCGAGUUGAUCACACAGUUAUGUUCGUAGGAUGUUUUUGAGUUAGUAUACAUGUUUGGUUUGGAGCCUCGAGGGCUCGGGUGAGUUUUAGAUAGGUGUCGGAGUGCUUUUGACUUAAGAAAUGCAGCAGAAAUAACUCUUGGCUGUUUUCCAGAUCCUUCUAUACGAUCGCUUUCUACCCUCCACGAUAGCAUUGAAUAAUGUCUCAACAAUAUUUUUCCUUCUACGCGAUCGCGUGUAUCCUUGCACGAUCGGAAUGCCAAAAAAUCUCACACUACGCUAUCGCAUACUUGCUCCCGCGAUAGCAGUGCACCUCGUACCUUAACCUAUGCGAUCGCAAUCCCUUCUUCGCGAUCGCAUAGAGUAAAUUCUGUCCAGUUCUUUAAAGUCCCAAAAAAACAGAACGUUUACGGGAUCUUCACAAUAUUUCACAAACCCUAUCUUAUUCAAAGCUCUUGGACGAUCCUUGGAGCAUUUCUUCACCAAAGUUUCUUUAGUAAGUGUUUUUAAUUCGUUUUCUUUAUUUUCCAUCAAUAUCUUUGAUUUCCUGGGCCUAAAACAUAUGAAAAUAGGUAGAAAUUAGAGAAAUGGGUAGGUUAGAGCUUUUUGAAUUUCCUUGAAUUAGACCUCGUUUUGGGGUCAAAUUUGCAAGCAAAUUAUAUAUUCAGACUCGUUGGGUGAUAGGAAUUUAGUUCGAACCUCCUGUUUUGAACAAGUGGGCCCAAAGUCGAUUUGUGAAAGAAUGUUUAGAAAAUUAUAUUUAGGCAUUUGAAUUGGAUUGUUGAGCAUUUAUUGAUGAUAUUAAAUCAAUUGUGUAUGGAUACGAUUGAAUUGGAGCCAAAUUUGAAAGGAAAAGUGGUGCUUAAGGAUUGAGUUGGCCGUAGAACUAUGAGGUAUGUGUUUGGUAUAACCUUAGCUUGAGGGAACAACCUGUCACCUUACAUUUGAACAUUGUGAAUUAAAAUAAACUUCCUAAAGGCUUGCCUACCCAAAUGUGGCCGGCCUAAAUAUGCUACUAGCGAUUAAAUAUAAUAUAAACCGUAAAAUAUUUCUAGUGCUCAGACUUCCUUAUAAUUUUUGGACUCCCAAUCUCCACGGUCUAACAUCGUCUUAGUAUCCAUGCCACUAAUAAAUCUAAUUAAUUUUGUUAACUUAGUUCUACUGUCAUCAAAGUGUUAAUUCUAAAGCUUAUAGUUCAAUUAAGGGAAGUAGUAGAGAAUCAAAAUUUAUUUUAGCCAUUAAACCCAUCCAAGCAGGGAUUAAACCAAUGGUUAAUAACAAAUUCAGUCAACAAACAGUAGAACAUCAUUAAAAUAGAGCAAUGAACAUCCAAACAAAUGGGGAAGUGAUAGAUUAACGAAGUGAUUAAGUACAAACAAUAUGUAAGGGAGGAAGAAAUAAACCUUACUGGCGAAAGUUUCUUCCAGAUUAGAGAAAGUCUAAAUCUACAGUAUUGUCUGGAUGAAGAGCAACAAAAAUUCAACAACCAAAUUGAGUAUUCACGGGAAAAUCAACAUGAGCGCUAAUCGGACCUCGAACACCGACCUAAACCAGCUCCAUCUCAGUAGCGAAACUCAAACCUGACAUCAGAAAUGAGCUGAAAGCCGCCUGAGAUUUGACUAUUUAUAGCAGAAAAUCUUGGGCUUGAGUUUUGAGCAAGAUUUAACAAUUCAAAUUAAUUGUAAAUAGCCCAAAUCUGAACGUUGGGGAUUCAAUUUCAAGUGACUUGGCUAUAUUCUGAAAGGGGUUGUCCUGGGUGACUGGUCCGUUGGUAACAGCUGUGCGAUUUUUUCUGGUGAGUACGUUGGAAAGGGACUAGGGUGCGGUAGCUCAGGUGUAUGGCUGGUCCAACGGGUUAAGGUUGAGGAACAGGUAGUCGUAGUUCGCUGGGGUUAUGAUUUAGGUGGUAUUUCCGGCGAUUUUUGGUUUUUAGCGGUGGUGGUUAUUGAGCUGAAGCUUUUUGACUGCAAAAAUGGCUGAUAGUUUUGUAUUGCAGGGCUGAAGAAGAUGACGAGGAAUGGGGGGAGGAGUCGCUAGGCUGAUGGAAGCUAGCUCGAUAUGGUAGGGCGGAGAUAGGGUCGUUUGGGGUGAAGUGAAAGGAGAGAGCAGGGGUCGUUUGGGGUGAACGGCGCUGGAUUGUUUAAUUCACGCUCGGUCUCGUUAGGGGUGUGGGGAAUACUGCGCUUUAUUUUUAAAGAAGAAGAA